CGGACGGGUGAGUAACACGUGAGCAACCUGGCUCUAAGAGGGGGACAACAGUUGGAAACGACUGCUAAUACCGCAUAACGUAUCGGGAUGGCAUCUUCCUGAUACCAAAGAUUUUAUCGCUUAGAGAUGGGCUCGCGUCUGAUUAGAUAGUUGGCGGGGUAACGGCCCACCAAGUCGACGAUCAGUAGCCGACCUGAGAGGGUGACCGGCCACAUUGGGACUGAGACACGGCCCAA
RNAcentral lists this ribosomal RNA (236 nucleotides) under uncultured bacterium. RNAcentral describes it as "partial 16S ribosomal RNA". It matches the Rfam family "Bacterial small subunit ribosomal RNA", at positions 99 to 334 of the family's 1533-position model. The record is from RNAcentral.